Molecule: ribosomal RNA, 202 nt
Filed under: uncultured bacterium
Lineage: Bacteria
Description: partial 16S ribosomal RNA
Rfam family: Bacterial small subunit ribosomal RNA
Source: RNAcentral
UGAAGGCUGAAAUUCGCCUUCAUGAAGCCGGAAUUGCUAGUAAUGGCAGGUCAGCAUACUGCCGUGAAUACGUUCCCGGGCCUUGUACACACCGCCCGUCACACCAUGAGAGUUGGGAAUACCCGAAGCCUGUGAGCUAACAUUUAUGAGGCAGCAGUCGAAGGUAGAGCCAAUGAUUGGGGUGAAGUCGUAACAAGGUAUC